Pelobates cultripes (western spadefoot toad) is the source of this 1200-nucleotide non-coding RNA. The record is from the annotation of a GenBank genome assembly. Lineage: Eukaryota; Metazoa; Chordata; Amphibia; Anura; Pelobatidae.
CUCCCACCUCCUGGACAGCUCACUAAGAAUGCAGCUUCACAAUGAAUGUAAAAUGGAUGCUGUCCAGGAGGUGGGAGGGUCUGGAAGGGAGGGUCUGCUGCUGAUUGGCUGGAAUGUGUCUGCUGACUGUGAGGUACACGGUCAAAGUUUACUCAAUGAUGACACCGUUUGGCGAACUGUUCGGGACAUCACUAAUCACAAGUCCAUGGCUGAUCAGGACUAUCCAGAUUGCCAAUGCAAAUUCAGACCAUGUAUUGGUUUUGUGUGUGUGCAGAGUCAAUACACAUAAAGAGAAAAUAGUGUGAGGGUGAAAAUCUAUUGAAAAGGCAAGAGUCCUAUGCACUGUCUGUUCUUUUUGAACAAUAAACUGAGAAAUGUGGUUUACCAGUACAUCUUUGAGCGACUAAAUCGAAUUACUUAAGCUUAAAGCUCAAAAGUGUACUGCCAGCGGUGAAUCUACCUUCUCAAAGCAGAAUGUUUCUCAGAAUAUAAAACUACACUUAUCAUAAUAUAUGAAAAUGUGAUUGUUGUAACUUAUCUUUAAAUCAUACAUCAGGAAUGUUCCAAAAUAGAAGUGUGCCUUUAUCCCAGUAGGUGGCGCGAGCUAACACAAACGCAGCACCCGGCAUCUGUACUUGUGGAAAUCACACUUUUAAGAGGAACUGUUUUGUUGUGUGUUUUUCACAGUAAACACUAUGCGGUAUAUUUGUGUCAAUAAGGAAGCAGAAUUGUCCAGCAAUCUAAAAUCAACUCACGCCUGCCAUUAGAAAUGGGUUAUGGUAAUCACCAAUAUGGAUGAACUCACGGGAUAUUUGUGAUGGCGAAACAGUUGCUUUCCUUUAGCUCAGUGCCAAAAAUUCAGAAACAUUCUGUUGGUUUCCAUAGUGAUUGCUUUAUAUUUAGCCCUUUGCCAAACAACAGCAUGUAUUUUUGCCUUGAUAAAACUUUCCUGUUUUAAAAGCAAAUACAUUACUUCCCAUGAUUCAUCCUGUUUCUGAAUGCCAUGACAGCUCAAUAGGGUCUAAUUUUCGAUGGAAUUUUGAUCAUUUUGUUUACGCAAGAAAAAUCCAUUCUGAUUUCAGCAGAUUCCUAUUUUGUAAAUCUGUUCAGAAUGUUUGAUGAGAGAGAGAUGGAGAUAAUUAGAGGGACAAAGGUUUAAAAAUAAUAUCAGGAAGUAUUACUUUACUGUGAGGGUAGUGG